AUUGAACGCUGGCGGCAGGCCUAACACAUGCAAGUCGAGCGGAGCGGCGGACGGGUGUGUAAUGCCUAGGAAUCUGCCUGGUAGUGGGGGAUAACGUCCGGAAACGGGCGAUAAUACCGCAUACUAUCAGAUGAGCCUAGGUAGGAUUAGCUAGUAGGUGGGGUAACGGCUCACCUAGGCGAAGAUCCCUAGCUGGUCUGAGAGGAUGACCAGCACCACUGGAACUGAGACACGUGCCAGACUCCUACGGGAGGCAGCAGUGGGGAAUAUGGCACAAUGGGCGCAAGCCUGAUGCAGCCAUGCCGCGUGUAUGAAGAAGGCCUUCGGGUUGUAAAGUACUUUCAGCGAGGAGGCGGUACUCGCAGAAGAAGCACCGGCUAACUCCGUGCCAGCAGCCGCGGUAAUUC
RNAcentral lists this ribosomal RNA (407 nucleotides) under uncultured bacterium. RNAcentral's name for it is "partial 16S ribosomal RNA". It matches the Rfam family "Bacterial small subunit ribosomal RNA", at positions 30 to 526 of the family's 1533-position model. The record is from RNAcentral.